RNAcentral lists this ribosomal RNA (433 nucleotides) under uncultured bacterium. RNAcentral's name for it is "partial 16S ribosomal RNA". It matches the Rfam family "Bacterial small subunit ribosomal RNA", at positions 28 to 507 of the family's 1533-position model. The record is from RNAcentral.
GACGAACGCUGGCGGCGUGCCUAACACAUGCAAGUCGAACGAGGCGUUCGGGAAUCUUGCCGCUCUCGAUCGUAACGCCUGAGGGCCUGGCCAUGGGUACGCAAUAACUCCCCGAGAGGGGUGCUAAAGCCGGAAACUGUCUUCAGACCCACAAUUGAUCGACUUUGGAUGGGCCUGCGUUAGAUUAGCUAGCUGGUACGGUAAAGGCCUACCAAGGGGACGGGCCAUAGCUGGUCUGAGAGGAUGAUCGGCCACACUGGGACUGAGACACGGCCCAGACCCCUACGGGAGGCAGCAGGUCGGAAUAAUGGACACCGGGCGAGAGCCGGCGCCAGCCAUGCCGCGUGAGUGAUUAAGGCCUUAGGGUUGGACAUCUCGUGAACCCGGGAAGAGAAUGACAGUACCGGGAGAAUAAGCCCCGGCUAACUCCGUG